This 376-nucleotide transfer-messenger RNA is filed under the name Campylobacteraceae bacterium. It matches the Rfam family "transfer-messenger RNA". From Rfam's summary of the family: Bacterial tmRNA, also known as 10Sa RNA or SsrA, is named for its dual tRNA and mRNA-like properties. Its role is to liberate the mRNA from a stalled ribosome. The record is from RNAcentral. Lineage: Bacteria; Pseudomonadati; Campylobacterota; Epsilonproteobacteria; Campylobacterales; Campylobacteraceae.
GGGAGUGACUUGGCUUCGACAGGAGCAAGUUGGUUUUGACUGCAUGCCGCUUUGAACAGAGCGCAAAAAGUUCAUUAAAUUUAGACGCAAAUAACAAAAAUUUCGCUCCCGCUUACGCAAAAGUCGCGUAAGUUUCAUCCUUAAAGGGAGGCUUCGCACCGCAGAUGCUAUCUAUGCGGAUUUUGUGAGGCUCGUAAAACAGAUAGCUUGAUUUGGCGCUUAGCUAACGUCAAAUUGAAAUCUAAGCUUGCGCUUUUGUGUAGUUUUCGCGGAUUGAAUCAAGCAAAAGCAAAGCCUUAAUCAAUCCUUCUAAGCAUGUAGACGUUGGGAUGGGACUUGUUUUUGGACAGGGGUUCGAUUCCCCUCACUUCCACCA